GGAAAACUCAACAUCAUUUUUCUCUUUAGACUCCAAGUUGCAGAAUUUCCGUUGAUAGAUUGAGCCUUCGUUUGUGUGAGGAUAGAGGGGAACCCCACUUUAGAACAAUCUUACCGAUCUCCUCGCAGAGCAGAACUCUUCUGUAAACCAUGGCUGUGUACAAAGUGUACUAAAAUAAGAAUUAAAACCUCUUAUUUUAGUGUAAGUAUGUUACUCAAAUUAGUUACGGGAAUUGUGUGCAACGAACCACGUGCGGGGCAGAGAUCACUCAUGAGUUAAUAGUCACCCCUAAACCAGUUAAUCGAAAUAGAUUGUGAAAAAGUCAGUAGAUAAAAAUGAUUGCUAUUAAAAAAAAUUCAAAACAAAGCAAACACACACACGCAUGCACACACACACGCACACAAAACACUCUCUUGCUAGCCCUGCUGUUUAGUGAUAGACUGUGGGUUUUUCAAUUGAACUUUUGUGUCUCGGUAUGAUGUUUUCUGUUUAAAUUUCAGAUUUGCUGCAAAUACAUCCACACAAAGAAGGCACUGAACAUAUAGGUAGAUGUGUAUUCUGUUUCAGACUUUCUCCUUAAAACAUUCAUAUAUGUAUAUCUAUAGAGAGAGACACACACACAUACACACAUAUACACACAUUUGUAUUUGAAUUAGUCAGGAUGGAAGGAGGUAAGUCACUUCAACCUUUAAGCCCCUUUGACAUUCACAAGGUGCUAAAAGUCAGCUGGGGUCUCAGCUCUGACAAAUUUGCAUCUCUUUGAAUAUGACGCUUGAAAAACCCCAGCGAUAGAUUAAAUUUUGCCAAGGAGAAAAUGAGAGAGAGGCUUCCAUCUCUCAGGUCUGCUGGGAGGAUCUUUAUGGUUGAUUUACUUUUUUUAAAUAAAUGUUUCUUUAUGUGUUUCCCUCAGUUCCUGCCCAGGCUGACUCUAUCAUACAAGCUGUAACUUCUGCCAGUCCUAUCAGCCAGCAAACAGUUUUGCUGGAGAGGGAGAAGGCAGCAACAGAGACAGCAUGGUGGAGUGAGGUGAGCAUCAUGAGAAAGCCAUCUGGACUCUCUCUUCUGACCUCUACCAUCCGUGCAUCCUUCCCUGAGCAAGACCUGACACAGGACGUCUUGGAAGUUCAAGCUCAUCAUCUGUAUAAGAGGGUGAUACCGUUUGGAUGUUUAUCUGCUCCAAAUCUCAUCUCUAAAUGUGAUCCCCAAUGUUGGAGGCAGGGACUGGCAGGAGGUGUUUGGAUCAUGGGGAUGGAUCCCUCAUGAAUGGCUUGGUUCCAUUCUUGCAGUAAUGAGUGAGGUCUUGCUCUAUCAGUUCACAAGAGAUCCGUUUGUGUAAAAGAGUGUGGUACCUCUCCCAUCCCUCCUGCACCCUCUCUCACCAUGUGACAUGCCAGCUCCCCUUCAUCUUCCACCAUGAUUGUAAGCUUCCUGAGGCCUCACCAGAAGUUAAGCAGAUGCUGGUGCUAUGCUUGUACAGCCUUCAGAACUGUGAGCGAAAUAAACCUCUUUUCUUUAUAAAUUACCCAGUCCCAGGCAUUUCUUU
Molecule: long non-coding RNA, 1543 nt
Filed under: Papio anubis (olive baboon)
Lineage: Eukaryota; Metazoa; Chordata; Mammalia; Primates; Cercopithecidae
Description: lncRNA (ENSPANG00000036654.2)
Source: RNAcentral